Molecule: long non-coding RNA, 680 nt
Organism: Bos indicus x Bos taurus (hybrid cattle)
Lineage: Eukaryota; Metazoa; Chordata; Mammalia; Artiodactyla; Bovidae
Source: Ensembl
GAAGUGGGUGUCACUUCAGAAUUAUGCAGAGACUCAUAGAAGGCCUACUUGUGCCCUCUCUUAGAUGUUCAUGGGGGAUCUGGUGAGAGACGGGUAGGAGGCAUUCUGUCAUUCCAUACAACGAGAAAAGAAUCAAUAGGAUGGAUAAACAACAAGGUCCUAUUGUAGAGCACAGGUCCUGAUGAAAUCCACAUACCUUACUGUCAACCGAAGUGAUACUGAUUGACAGGGGAAAGAACUUCAGCUGGCAAGAAACAGGACGUCAUUGUGGAUUGAGGAAGUUUACCCCCAAAUUUUGAGGCUGAGAUGGAAAACGGCAAUUGUCUUCCAUGUGAUCACCCAAGAAUCCUGUUAUCUCAGUCUCAGGACUCCAUCAUCUUCACCUGUGCCAUGAUUGCUGCAGCAGCAGGAGAAAAUGCUGGGGCACUUUCCUGGACAAUUCAACUCUUCCACUCCCAAUUCAUCUACCAGAGCUAGGCACAUGUACUAACUGCAAGGGAAGAAGGACUGUGCAUUGCAAGUCCCACAAAUCUGUACCAUACAUAUUUAAGAUUGUUGGUGUUUCAGACUGGGAUUUUUAUGACUAUUUUACUAAAAUUAUUUCUAUAAACAAAUACUCCUUCAGCUAGCAAAAGUGUAUCACUUUAAUUUCCACCAUUUCUGAUGAAGACGUAUUAAAG